UACGUAGGGUGCAAGCGUUGUCCGGAAUUAUUGGGCGUAAAGAGCUCGUAGGCGGUUUGUUGCGUCGGCUGUGAAAACCUGAGGCUCAACCUCAGGCCUGCAGUCGAUACGAGCAGACUAGAGUGUUGCAGGGGGGACUGGAAUUCCUGGUGUAGCGGUGAAAUGCGCAGAUAUCAGGAGGAACACCGGUGGCGAAGGCGGGUCGUCUGGGCAACAACUGACGCUGAGGAGCGAAAGCAUGGGGAGCGAACAGG
Molecule: ribosomal RNA, 254 nt
Filed under: uncultured bacterium
Lineage: Bacteria
Description: partial 16S ribosomal RNA
Rfam family: Bacterial small subunit ribosomal RNA
Source: RNAcentral